CCGCACAAGCGGUGGAGCAUGUGGUUAAUCGAUGCAACGCGAAAACCUUACCUACCCUUGACAUGUCUGGAAGGCCGAAGAGAUUUGGCUGUGCUCGCAAGAGAACCGGAACACAGGUGCUGCAUGGCUGUCGUCAGCUCAUGUCGUGAGAUGUUGGGUUAAGUCCCGCAACGAGCGCAACCCUUGUCAUUAGUUGCUACGAAAGGGCACUCUAAUGAGACUGCCGGUGACAAACCGGAGGAAGGUGGGGAUGACGUCAAGUCCUCAUGGCCCUUAUGGGUAGGGCUUCACACGUCAUACAAUGGUCGGGACAGAGGGUCGCCAACCCGCGAGGGGGAGCCAAUCCCAGAAACCCGAUCGUAGUCCGGAUUGCAGGCUGCAACUCGCCUGCAUGAAGUCGGAAUCGCUAGUAAUCGCGGAUCAGCAUGUCGCGGUGAAUACGUUCCCGGGUCUU
RNAcentral lists this ribosomal RNA (454 nucleotides) under uncultured Pusillimonas sp. Its description in RNAcentral is "bacterial SSU rRNA". It matches the Rfam family "Bacterial small subunit ribosomal RNA", at positions 921 to 1382 of the family's 1533-position model. The record is from RNAcentral. Lineage: Bacteria; Pseudomonadati; Pseudomonadota; Betaproteobacteria; Burkholderiales; Alcaligenaceae.